AGAUUGAACGCUGGCGGCAGGCCUAACACAUGCAAGUCGAGCGGUAGAGAGAAGCUUGCUUCUCUUGAGAGCGGCGGACGGGUGAGUAAAGCCUAGGAAUCUGCCUGGUAGUGGGGGAUAACGUUCGGAAACGGACGCUAAUACCGCAUACGUCCUACGGGAGAAAGCAGGGGACCUUCGGGCCUUGCGCUAUCAGAUGAGCCUAGGUCGGAUUAGCUAGUUGGUGAGGUAAUGGCUCACCAAGGCGACGAUCCGUAACUGGUCUGAGAGGAUGAUCAGUCACACUGGAACUGAGACACGGUCCAGACUCCUACGGGAGGCAGCAGUGGGGAAUAUUGGACAAUGGGCGAAAGCCUGAUCCAGCCAUGCCGCGUGUGUGAAGAAGGUCUUCGGAUUGUAAAGCACUUUAAGUUGGGAGGAAGGGCAUUAACCUAAUACGUUA
This 442-nucleotide ribosomal RNA is filed under the name uncultured bacterium. Its description in RNAcentral is "bacterial SSU rRNA". It matches the Rfam family "Bacterial small subunit ribosomal RNA", at positions 26 to 470 of the family's 1533-position model. The record is from RNAcentral.